Molecule: ribosomal RNA, 494 nt
Filed under: uncultured bacterium
Lineage: Bacteria
Description: partial 16S ribosomal RNA
Rfam family: Bacterial small subunit ribosomal RNA
Source: RNAcentral
GACGAACGCUGGCGGCGUGCUUAACACAUGCAAGUCGAACGGUGAAGCGCCUUCCUUUUUGGUGGGUGUGGAUGAGUGGCGAACGGGUGAGUAACACGUGAGUAACCUGCCCCCUUCUUCUGGAUAACCGCAUGAAAGUGUGGCUAAUACGGGAUAUUCUGGGUCUGUCGCAUGAUGGGUCUGGGAAAGAUAUUGUUUCGGUGGGGGAUGGGCUCGCGGCCUAUCAGCUUGUUGGUGGGGUGAUGGCCUACCAAGGCGGUGACGGGUAGCCGGCCUGAGAGGGUGGACGGUCACACUGGGACGGAGACACGGGCCAGAAUCCUACGGGAGGCAGAAGUGGGGAAUAUUGCACAAUGGGCGCAAGCCUGAUGCAGCGACGCCGCGGGAGGGAUGGAGGCCUUCGGGUUGUGAACCUCUUUCGACAGUGAAGCAGGCCUGCCUCGUUUGUGGGUGGGUUGACGGUAGCUGGAUAAGAAGCGCCGGCUAACUACGUG